UACGUAGGGUGCAAGCGUUGUCCGGAAUUAUUGGGCGUAAAGAGCUCGUAGGCGGUUUGUCGCGUCGAAUGUGAAAACCCGGGGCUCAACUCCGGGCCUGCAUUCGAUACGGGCAGACUAGAGUUCGGUAGGGGAGAUUGGAAUUCCUGGUGUAGCGGUGGAAUGCGCAGAUAUCAGGAGGAACACCGAUGGCGAAGGCAGAUCUCUGGGCCGUAACUGACGCUGAGGAGCGAAAGCAUGGGGAGCGAACAGG
RNAcentral lists this ribosomal RNA (253 nucleotides) under uncultured bacterium. Its description in RNAcentral is "partial 16S ribosomal RNA". It matches the Rfam family "Bacterial small subunit ribosomal RNA", at positions 524 to 776 of the family's 1533-position model. The record is from RNAcentral.